RNAcentral lists this ribosomal RNA (253 nucleotides) under uncultured bacterium. Its description in RNAcentral is "partial 16S ribosomal RNA". It matches the Rfam family "Bacterial small subunit ribosomal RNA", at positions 524 to 776 of the family's 1533-position model. The record is from RNAcentral.
UACGUAUGGUGCAAGCGUUAUCCGGAUUUACUGGGUGUAAAGGGAGCGCAGGCAGCACGGCAAGCCUGAUGUGAAAGCCCGCGGCCCAACCGCGGGACUGCAUUGGGAACUACCGGGCUGGAGUGCCGGAGAGGUAGGCGGAAUUCCUAGUGUAGCGGUGAAAUGCGUAGAUAUUAGGAGGAACACCAGUGGCGAAGGCGGCCUACUGGACGGUGACUGACGCUGAGGCUCGAAAGCGUGGGGAGCAAACAGG